UACAUAGGGUGCGAGCGUUGUCCGGAAUUAUUGGGCGUAAAGAGCUCGUAGGCGGUCUGUCGCGUCGAUCGUGAAAACUUGGGGCUUAACCCUGAGCUUGCGGUCGAUACGGGCAUGACUGGAGUUCGGCAGGGGAGACUGGAAUUCCUGGUGUAGCGGUGAAAUGCGCAGAUAUCAGGAGGAACACCGGUGGCGAAGGCGGGUCUCUGGGCCGAUACUGACGCUGAGGAGCGAAAGCGUGGGGAGCGAACAGG
This 254-nucleotide ribosomal RNA is filed under the name uncultured bacterium. RNAcentral describes it as "partial 16S ribosomal RNA". It matches the Rfam family "Bacterial small subunit ribosomal RNA", at positions 524 to 776 of the family's 1533-position model. The record is from RNAcentral.